Molecule: ribosomal RNA, 377 nt
Filed under: uncultured bacterium
Lineage: Bacteria
Description: bacterial SSU rRNA
Rfam family: Bacterial small subunit ribosomal RNA
Source: RNAcentral
UACAGAGGGUGCGAGCGUUAAUCGGAAUUACUGGGCGUAAAGGGCGCGUAGGUGGGAGUCUAAGUCAGAUGUGAAAGCCCUGGGCUCAACCUAGGAACUGCAUUUGAUACUGGACUGUCUAGAGUGAGGUAGAGGGUGGCGGAAUUCCCGGUGUAGCGGUGAAAUGCGUAGAUAUCGGGAAGAACACCAGUGGCGAAGGCGGCCACCUGGACCUUAACUGACACUGAGGCGCGAAAGCGUGGGUAGCGAACAGGAUUAGAUACCCUGGUAGUCCACGCUGUAAACGAUGAAGACUAGCUGUUGGAGAGCUUAGGCUUUUCAGUGGCGCAGCUAACGCGAUAAGUUUUCCGCCUGGGGAGUACGGUCGCAAGAUUAAA